GGCUUAUAAUUGAAGUCUGGCAUGAAAGGGAACACGGGAAUGAGCUGUCUUAUUAAAUUUUUGCGAAUUUACUUAGUAAGUGAAAAUUCUUACCAAAGGAAAAUAGACGAGAAGACCCUAGAAAUUUUUUACAUAUACAAUAUUUACUAUUUUGUUGGGGCGACACGGUAACAUUAGAACUUACCUAUUAUAUUUGAAUAUAUUUAUAUGAAUAACUAAAUUACUCUAGGGAUAACAGCAUUAUUUAUUAUAAAGUUUGUGACCUCGAUGUUGGACUAGGACAUAUUUUACCUAGAAAGUAUAAUAUAUGCUCUGU
RNAcentral lists this ribosomal RNA (316 nucleotides) under Perforatella incarnata. Its description in RNAcentral is "Monachoides incarnatus partial 16S ribosomal RNA". Lineage: Eukaryota; Metazoa; Mollusca; Gastropoda; Stylommatophora; Hygromiidae. The record is from RNAcentral.